GUCGAAUGCGAUCAAACAUCGUCUUCCGACUCGUUCCUAUUCGACAGAAGGAAGGAAAAGGGAAAGCUGGCUGGCCAAAAGACCUGAGGCUGAGAAAAGAGGACAGAACACACUCGAGUCUUUGGCAGAAAUGUCUGGCAUCCACAGCACAGCGCAGAACAGCUGCCCAUUGCCUCUGGUUGUUGGGUCGAGAGCAUUUCUGGGCCGGAGAACCGAUGCCACCCUGUCGUGAUGUUGGAUCUGCCAAGGAAAUAUUGACUUUCAAACCAGUUUGAAAUAUCGCAUGCUGGUCCACGUGAUAGAGGACGUGUCCAGGUCACGUUAGACGACUCGUUU
Ictalurus punctatus (channel catfish) is the source of this 336-nucleotide long non-coding RNA. NCBI's taxonomy places the organism in Eukaryota, Metazoa, Chordata, Actinopteri, Siluriformes, Ictaluridae. The record is from Ensembl.